RNAcentral lists this ribosomal RNA (361 nucleotides) under uncultured Raoultella sp. RNAcentral's name for it is "bacterial SSU rRNA". It matches the Rfam family "Bacterial small subunit ribosomal RNA", at positions 911 to 1272 of the family's 1533-position model. The record is from RNAcentral. Lineage: Bacteria; Pseudomonadati; Pseudomonadota; Gammaproteobacteria; Enterobacterales; Enterobacteriaceae.
UGACGGGGGCCCGCACAAGCGGUGGAGCAUGUGGUUUAAUUCGAUGCAACGCGAAGAACCUUACCUACUCUUGACAUCCAGAGAACUUAGCAGAGAUGCUUUGGUGCCUUCGGGAACUCUGAGACAGGUGCUGCAUGGCUGUCGUCAGCUCGUGUUGUGAAAUGUUGGGUUAAGUCCCGCAACGAGCGCAACCCUUAUCCUUUGUUGCCAGCGAUUCGGUCGGGAACUCAAAGGAGACUGCCAGUGAUAAACUGGAGGAAGGUGGGGAUGACGUCAAGUCAUCAUGGCCCUUACGAGUAGGGCUACACACGUGCUACAAUGGCAUAUACAAAGAGAAGCGACCUCGCGAGAGCAAGCGGAC